Molecule: ribosomal RNA, 952 nt
Filed under: uncultured Methanobrevibacter sp.
Lineage: Archaea; Methanobacteriati; Methanobacteriota; Methanobacteria; Methanobacteriales; Methanobacteriaceae
Description: bacterial SSU rRNA
Rfam family: Archaeal small subunit ribosomal RNA
Source: RNAcentral
UAAGCCAUGCAAGUCGAACGAGUUUAGGCUCGUGGCGUACGGCUCAGUAACACGUGGAUAACCUACCCUUAGGACCGGGAUAACCUUGGGAAACUGAGGACAAUACUGGAUAGGCAAUUUUUCCUGUAAUGGUUUUUUGUUUAAAUGUUUUUUCGCCUAAGGAUGGGUCUGCGGCCGAUUAGGUAGUUGGUUAGGUAAUGGCUUACCGAGCCGUUGAUCGGUACGGGUUGUGAGAGCAAGAGCCCGGAGAUGGAACCUGAGACAAGGUUCCAGGCCCUACGGGGUGCAGCAGGCGCGAAACCUCCGCAAUGUGAGAAAUCGCGACGGGGGGAUCCCAAGUGCCAUUCUUAACGGGAUGGCUUUUCAUUAGUGUAAAAAGCUUUUGGAAUAAGAGCUGGGCAAGACCGGUGCCAGCCGCCGCGGUAACACCGGCAGCUCUAGUGGUAGCAAUUUUUAUUGGGCCUAAAGCGUCCGUAGCCGGUUUAAUAAGUCUCUGGUGAAAUCCUGUAGCUUAACUGUGGGAAUUGCUGGAGAUACUAUUAGACUUGAGACCGGGAGAGGUUAGAGGUACUCCCAGGGUAGAGGUGAAAUUCUGUAAUCCUGGGAGGACCGCCUGUUGCGAAGGCGUCUAACUGGAACGGUUCUGACGGUGAGGGACGAAAGUUAGGGGCGCGAACCGGAUUAGAUACCCGGGUAGUUCUAACUGUAAACGAUGCGGACUUGGUGUUGGGGUGGCUUUGAGCUGUCCCAGUGCCGAAGGGAAGCUGUUAAGUCCGCCGCCUGGGAAGUACGGUCGUAAGACUGAAACUUAAAGGAAUUGGCGGGGGAGCACCACAACACGUGGAGCCUGCGGUUUAAUUGGAUUCAACGCCGGACAUCUCAACAGAGGCGACAGCUGUAUGAUAGCCAGGUUGAUGACUUUGCUUGACUAGCUGAGAGGUGGUGCAUGGCC